This is a long non-coding RNA of Brassica napus (rape), 302 nucleotides long. RefSeq lists it as uncharacterized. The transcript has 2 exons. The record is from RefSeq and is a predicted model, not a curated record. NCBI's taxonomy places the organism in Eukaryota, Viridiplantae, Streptophyta, Magnoliopsida, Brassicales, Brassicaceae.
GAAAUCAGAAAUCGAGCAUUCGUUAAACAUGGAGCUGCUUAUAGUUGUAGAACAGAGCUUGUGUGGUCCGAGAAAACAGUUGUCCCGUUGCCAUUUUUGGGAAGAGCUCAAAAAGGAUCAAUAGGAACAACAAUUUGGUACACCUUUGAUUAAAACUUGUGUAUAAAUCAUCAUUUUAAACUUCUCUUUUCUGAAACAUGAUUUUCUUAAGAUAAAAUGAAUCGGCUAUAGAAUGAACUAUCAAUUUAUCUUUAACGCUCAUGUUGCUGCAUGUCAAUCAACGAAUGCUACUUCUUCUUCAA